AUUUCUUUGGGCCCCUCCCGCAGCAUAUGGAGGUUCCCAGGCUAGGGGUCGAAUCGGAGCUGCAGCCCCCGGCCUACACCAGAGCCACAGCAAUGCGGGAUCCGAGCCGCGUCUGCAACCUACACCACAGCUCAUGGCAACGCCGGAUCGUUAACCCACUGAGCAAGGGCAGGGAUCGAACCCGUGACCUCAUGGUUCCUAGUCGCGUUCGUUAACCACUGCGCCACGACGGGAACUCCUGUUCUCGAUUAGUUUUACCUGUUCUAGACUUUCACAAAACAGAAUUAUAACAGCAUUCUUUUUCUUUCAGCUCUUUGUUCAGCGUAGCAUCUGUGAGAUCUUCCUCUGUUGUCAAGGUAUUAAUAGUGCAUUCCUUUUAAUUCAUCCAUCCAUUGAAUUCACUUUGGAUGGAUAUUUGGAUUAUUCUAGGCUUUGGUUACCAUGAUAGUCUCUGUCUUCUUUAAUUGUCUUAUUUAGUCUAUUUACAUUUAACACCGUCUUUCAAUUGUUUAUUUGAAAUCACUGCAGACUUAGAGAAAUGUUGCAAGGAUAGUUGUGUUCCCCCUAAUGUUAACAUUUUUACGUAACCGUGGCACAGGCAGCAACAACAGGAGAUUGCAACAGUAUGAUUAAGUACUUCGCAGAUCCUCUUCCAGUUUCACCACCUUUUCCCUAAUGUCUUUUUCUGGCCCCAAGUCCAAUCCAGUCCUGAGCCUCACAUGACAUUUAGUUGUCAUGUCCCCUCCAAUCAGUGACACUACCCUGAUGUUUCUCCUGUUUUCCUUGACCUUGAAACUUGGAUGAGUACACUUUCGGACGGCCCCUCCCUCAGUUUGGGUUGACGGGUGUUUUCUGGAGAGCAGGCUGUGGUUGUGCAUUUUAGGCAGGCCACCAGGGAACUCCAGAAGUUGAUUUCUUAAGCGGUGCAUGUAGAGAUUAGAUUUUCAUAAUAAAGAUAUUUGUGUUAAUGAUAUUUUUUCCCACAUAGUCUCCAAUGCCAAGGCAGUGAAACAGGAAAAUAUUAAAAGGAAAAAACAAAAAGCCUGGCACUCUAGGUAUAAGAUAUAACUUCUUUUUGACCCUUUGGGAUAGAAUUUCACCUCAUCAGACAAGGUUUCACAAAGUUUUCAAAGACCCUCUCCUAGAAGUAGAGAAACAAGAAGACAGGUGCCAGGUAUGAAUCACUGUUGAGUCACCUGGGGCUGUGUUUUGUCAACGGAUUAAAAAGUCUCCGGGUCACCUUUCCUUCCACUCUGCACAUCCUGCAGGUUCGAACAGUGCCUUACACGGGUUACAAAUCACUUUCAUAUCCACCGGCUCACUUGCUAGUUCAACUCUGUGAUAGAGGCGUGGAGGGGGUGCACUGGGAGCCUCUUACACAUGAAGACAGGGAGACUGGUCCAAAGUCCCUGGGAACACAGGGGCAGUGAUCCUAGACUUCUGUUUCUGUUUUCUUUUUUUUUUUUUAAGGGCCGCACCCGUGGCGCAUAUGGAAGUUCCUGGCCUACACCACAGCCACAGCAAUGCGGGAUCCAAGCCUCAUCUGCGACCUAUACCACAGCUCAUGGCAAUGGGGGAUCCUUAACCCAUUGAGCGAGGCCAGGGAUUGAACCCACAUCCUCAUGGAUACUAAUCAGGUUUGUAACCUGCUAAGCCACAAUGGGAGCUCUGAUCCUGGAUUUCUGAUUCACAGGCAAUGGCAGGGAGGCCGAGACUUCCUGCUGUGGCGCCGCGGAAACGAAUCCAACUAGUAUCCUAUCACUCAGUGGGUUGGGGAUCUGGCAUUGCUGUGGCUGUGGCUGUAGCUCCGAUUCAACCCCUAGCCUGGGAACUUCCAUAGGCCACAGGGGCGGCCCUAAAAAGCAAACAUAAAUAAAUAAAAAUAAAAGCUUAAAAAAAAAAAGAUGUUCAACAUGAAGAUGACACUCUAAACAUUCUACUUGGCAAAACAACAGAAGCACAUUCCCAAGGGAAUACCAAGGCGAGCGCCAGGAAAUGACAACAGGUCAUCGUAGUAAACGGUGCUCAGUGACACUUCCUUAUUUCACCAAAUCUAAGAAGCUACUGAUUCUAAAAUGCACCAUUAUUCCAUGCCAGUCAGAAAGCAAAGUCCUCCCAACUAACCCAUGACACGUUGACUUUAAGAUGCAUCCUGACCUCAGAUGUGUCCAAACAUGUCUCAGGUUUGAUGAAAUGCAGAAAUGCAAGACCCGCUUUCUCCAACUGCGGUUAUCACCUUCCCCGGCGUCACUAGCUCGUUACCUUAUCGAUACUGUUGAAUAGCGGCAGUGCCGUGUGUGGGACUGUCAGUGGGAAGAGGAACAGGAUGAAAGAAUGAAAGCAUCAUCUGCUGGGAAUCUGCUCAGAUCGGGUCCUACAAGGAAAAUUCUAGGAGCCUGGAGCGGUGAGCUCUCAGCAGCUCCCUGUAAAAGCAGCUCUUACAAGAGUGAAUUUUCAGAUCUCCUUUGUCUACUGCCCGUCAAAAGAAAUCACAUGACAAACGCUCAGCUCUUGGGGCGCAAACCCUGUGCAGGUAUUGGAGCAUCUGGGCGACGACACCCUGACACCUUCGUUUUGUUCAGUGAAGAGUUAAAGGAGGCAGCUGGUGCUGACCACGUGCCACGAAGCGCCCAAACGCACACAAAGCAUCAGAGCAGAUUCUCAGCCGAGCUGCCGGCUGUGAUCCCUAUUGAAAGGAUGAAGAACGGGGAGCUCAGGAAAGCUCAGUGGGUGGGUGAGGUCCAUCGGGUGGAAUGUCUGCGUCAGGAUUCAAACCCACGUCUGUCCACCGGCCCCCAAAGGCCCUGCGCUUUCCAUUGCUCAGGGGACAGAAAGCAGGAAGGGCGGAGGCCUUUAAAGGCCUGAAAAUCAGCUAGACUAAGCCAGAGUCUGGAAGGCCGACCCUCUGUCUAAACAACUGCCCAGCAAACUAUGGACCUUUUGCUGCAGAAGGGCCCAUUCACGUGGGGACCAUCGGUCCGUGGGACAGCUGUGCACCUGAGUGAGGGGGUUUCUGGCACCACCCCAGCUUCAUGUCACGUCUCACCUAAGAUCUGCCUGAGAACACAGAGCCACCAGCCAUGCAGCUGGAAGCGAGGACAAGAUGUGAACACAGUCACCAUGGAAGACAACGUGUAAAGAGGGCCACACGAACGACCUCUGAAUAUAGCAGCCCCUUGCAGCCAACUCCCAGCAAUCAGGGACAUUGGUGGCCAUGGAGCUGGGCUCUGCGCUGCACCAUGAAGAACAGACAGGUGCUAGUAGCCAGAGGAGGGAGCGUGCGUGGCUCGAGCAAGCAUCUGGGAACAGGACAUGGGGGAGAGGAG
This 3326-nucleotide long non-coding RNA is filed under the name Sus scrofa (pig). Its description in RNAcentral is "lncRNA (ENSSSCG00060048136.1)". Lineage: Eukaryota; Metazoa; Chordata; Mammalia; Artiodactyla; Suidae. The record is from RNAcentral.